CAGAGCGCGCAGCGGUGUGCGCCGCCUGAAGAGACCUCGCCGUGGAGAAGCAGCAGCGCCCAGCCGAUGGAGCGGCCGUAUCUGCAGGCCCACGGAGAGCCUCGUGGCUCAGUUGCCCCUGCAACUCUCUUAAAAGAGCGAUCACUGAGGGUGUUGUUGAGCCUUCGGAGCAUACGGCGCCUUUUUCAAGGCGCCCGGCUCCCGGAUGGUCUCAGCACCCGAAGAAGCUCCGCGGGCGGGCUGGAGCGGGCGCGGGCCGAAGGUCCAGAGGUUUGUGUGAGGCAGCAGCAGCAUCGCGGGAGGUGAAGCUGGAUGUCGGCGUUGGAGGUGACGUGUGCCCGGUGAGCCGUGACUGCUAGGCAGAAGCCGUUGCUGUCGCUGAAGUCUGACUUGGUGGUGCCAGUCUAAGCCUCCAGGACGGGAGUAAAUAGAAGGGGAGCGUACGUACCUUUGCCACGGG
Molecule: long non-coding RNA, 460 nt
Organism: Hirundo rustica (Barn swallow)
Lineage: Eukaryota; Metazoa; Chordata; Aves; Passeriformes; Hirundinidae
Exons: 3
Source: RefSeq, a predicted model, not a curated record